GACGAACGCUGGCGGCGUGCUUAACACAUGCAAGUCGAACGGAAAGGCCCCUUUGGUGGUCCUCGAGCGGCGAACGGGUGCGUAACACGUGAGUAACCUGCCCUUGCCUUCGGGACAACGUCAGCAAACUGGGGCUAAUACUGGAUAGGAAUCCUUUCUGCAUGGUGGGGGUUGGAUAGCUUCGGCGGUUUUGGAUGGACUCGCGGCUUAUCAGCUUGCUGGUGGGGUGGUGGCUUACCAAGGCUUUGACGGGUAGCCGGCCUGAGAGGGCGACCGGCCACAUUGGGACCGAGAGACGGCACAGACUGCUACGGGAGGCAGCAGUGGGGAAUAUUGCACGAUGGGCGGAAGCCUGAUGAAGCAACGCCGCGUGCGGGAUGACGGCCUUCGGGUUGUAAACCGCAUUCGGCAGGGGCGAAGCUUGUGGUGACGGUACCUGCAGAAGAAGCACCGGCUAACUACGUG
This 465-nucleotide ribosomal RNA is filed under the name uncultured bacterium. RNAcentral's name for it is "partial 16S ribosomal RNA". It matches the Rfam family "Bacterial small subunit ribosomal RNA", at positions 28 to 507 of the family's 1533-position model. The record is from RNAcentral.